UGGCUCGUGAUGAAUGCCAGGCACGUAGACAGUUUGUGAACUGAGAGGUGGUAUCAGGUAGCGCGUCUGAGGAACACGAGAACGGGAUACCAACCCCAGCUAGUAAGCAGUCAUUUCAGCUUACUUACUUUGGUAGGAUAUACAAGUCUUAUCGACACAGUCUUUUGAAAUACCAACUCACUUAUAAAAAUUAGUAGCGAUAACAUUUGCGAUGACCUGAUGAUGACCGGAAACGCACUGAAUUAAUCGGCUCAAGACUGCACAACAGACUAUCUUCACUGUGCUCACAGCGGGGAUUGACUCCAGAUUUUAACGUUAUAAGCUGAGCCAAUAAGGGGCACAUACAUAUGUGGUAAAACUCAGUGAUGAAAAUAAUCAAGUCCGGUACUGUAUACCGGUAGCGUCGGCACGCUGUACCGGCAACCCACUUAUGAACGUCACGUGUUAAUAUGACGGUAUUGUUGGAUGUGACGUUACAUUCAGAUCCCACCCCCUAUCAGGGUUGUCAGAACUAGAACAUUGUGCAUCACGACCUGAAUGUAAGACGGCCCCCCUCCGGCUCUAUAGGGACAUUAACAUUCACGCCUUCUUCAUUUGUAAGUUUUAAUCGUAUUGUAGGAUCAGCUUCUCAUUCAUAAGUCUGUGGGUCAGGAGGGGGAGGGGGUGUUUGAGUUUCUCCAAGUUUAUUACCAGGGUUCAUCGUUUUAUGAAGCCUGAAAUUUGUAUCAGAUAGCAGGGAAGCCACUGAGUGUAAAAAAAACAACAACAAAAGUUUCGCUAUAGUGUUUAACAUAGAUAAGUUUUGGUUUUAGCGGGCGAUUAUUCAUCUUCUGACUGAAGAAUUAAAUAAAUUAUGUUGAUCUUUAGGUAGACACGGGGGGAGGGGUUCUGAUUUUCCUUUUAGACAGCAGCCCCCCUCCCAAUCUCUUGAAUUUCAUUCUCCAUAAUGCAUCACGGCUCAAUUGAUGUUGGAUUUUUAUUUAGGCUACAACCUAUUCGUUUAGUUCUUGAUACCCGGACUAUGAACCCGAGGAUUCAUGGUUCGCAAUUAGUUGGUGCAGAAACACGAUACGAACAUUGGUGUCUUGGGUGAGCUGUAAGAGAGACGACCAAAUCUCUCUAGUCGAUCAGAAAAGAGUAGCCCAAGAGUUGGCGGUAGGUGCUGUUUCAUAGCUGCCUAUCUGCUAGUCUAUCAGCUCAGAAUUAGUGAGGCUUAUGUACAGAUAGAUCUUAUGUGGCUUUGUGCAAAAUUCUGAAAAAACAACACAAGUUUAGCCUUGAACAUAAAUAAUUAGCUUUUUGUUAUAUACAUUGUUAGUAGACACGCCAAAUAAAUCAAAUAUCAUCACCAGUUCGCACAUUGUUAGCAGACACGCAAAUUAAAUAUCACCACCAGUUCGUACAUUGUUAGCAGACACGCUAAUUAAAUAUCAUCACCAGUUCGUACAUUGUUAGCAGACACGCUAAAUAAAUCAAAUAUCACCAGUUCGUACAUUGUUAGCUGACACGCUAAUUAAAUAUCACCACCAGUUCGUAUAUUGUUAGUUGACACGCUAAUUAAAUAUCACCACCAGUUCGUACAUUGUUAGUUGACACCCUAAUUAAAUAUCAUCACCAGUUCGUAUAUUAGUAGAUGACACGCUAAUUGAAUAUCACCACCAGUUCGUACAUUGUUAGUGGACACGCUAAUUAAAUAUCAUCACCAGUUCGUACAUUGCUAGUUGACACGCUAAUUAAAUAUCACCACCAGUUCGUACAUUGUUAGUAGACACACUAAUUAAAUAUCAUCACCAGUUCGUACGUUGUUAGCAGACACGCUAAUUAAAUAUCACCACCAGUUCGUACAUUGUUAGUGGACACACUAAUUAAAUAUCACUACCAGUUCGUACAUUGUUAGUGGACACGCUAGCUAAAUAUCACCACCAGUUCGUACAUUGUUAGUGGACACGCUAGCUAAAUAUCAUCACCAGUUCGUACAUUGUUAGCAGACACGCUAAUUAAAUAUCACCACCAGUUCGUACAUUGUUAGUGGACAUGCUAAUUAAAUAUCACCACCAGUUCGUACAUUGUUAGUGGACACGCUAAUUAAAUAUCACCACCAGUUCGUACAUUGUUAGUGGACACGCUAGCUAAAUAUCAUCACCAGUUCGUACAUUGUUAGUGGACACGCCAGUUAAAUGAGAAGUUAACUCCCUCAAUAUGGUCAGUAAUUCUUUACAUAAGAUUAAUACUUUUUAUACAUGACUUAUUAUUGUAUAAUUAUUGUUGAUAUAUUGCCAGUAGUUUGUAAGCUCUGAUUUAAAAGAUCUGCCUUACGAUGAUUAGUUGUGAAAAUGUUAAGAUAAUCCUCAUAUUUCUGUAUACCUUUUGUUUAUUUGUACUUAAGCACAAAGCUACACUAUGGACUAUCUGUGCUCUUCCCACCACGGGUAU
This is an RNA transcript of Limulus polyphemus (Atlantic horseshoe crab), 2433 nucleotides long. It is a transcript of the gene named ADP-ribosylation factor-like protein 4A, with no coding region annotated. The record is from RefSeq and is a predicted model, not a curated record. NCBI's taxonomy places the organism in Eukaryota, Metazoa, Arthropoda, Merostomata, Xiphosura, Limulidae. The transcript is spliced from 3 exons.